Molecule: transfer RNA, 75 nt
Filed under: Elusimicrobiota bacterium
Lineage: Bacteria; Pseudomonadati; Elusimicrobiota
Description: Elusimicrobia bacterium (groundwater metagenome) tRNA-Pro
Rfam family: tRNA
About the family: Transfer RNA (tRNA) molecules are approximately 80 nucleotides in length. Their secondary structure includes four short double-helical elements and three loops (D, anti-codon, and T loops).
Source: RNAcentral
CGGGGAGUGGCUCAACGGCAGAGCACUCGCUUGGGGUGCGAGAGGUUCCGGGUUCGAUUCCCGGCUCCCCGACCA